GGUGGCGGGGGUGGUUAUGGAGGAGGUUACGGAGGCGGAUUUGGAUUCGGAGGCGGAGGUGGAUUCAGAAAGAAAUAAUAAACACGCUGCCAAGUUUGUUAACAUACAGGCGUCAAGAUUUACUCUCAACAGAUGCAGAAAAGUAAGAUAAAUGUACACCUAAAAGCAAAGUUGAUGUACCUAUGAAGAAGUUACCAAAUAAAUAUAUUUCUUA
Cydia pomonella (codling moth) is the source of this 214-nucleotide long non-coding RNA. RefSeq lists it as uncharacterized. The transcript is spliced from 2 exons. The record is from RefSeq and is a predicted model, not a curated record. Lineage: Eukaryota; Metazoa; Arthropoda; Insecta; Lepidoptera; Tortricidae.